AAGGCGAAUGCCGAAAAGCCUGUAACAGAGUAGGCC
RNAcentral lists this non-coding RNA (36 nucleotides) under unclassified sequences. RNAcentral's name for it is "DUF805b RNA". It matches the Rfam family "DUF805b RNA". Rfam says of the family: Bacteroidetes, Chlorobi (1 example), Proteobacteria. The record is from RNAcentral.